UCGCCGCUUUCGCACCACACACUACCUGUUUGCUUGAUUCUCUUGUUUUUUUUUUGUUUGUACUCCUCAGAACGCAGAAACUACUAGCGCGCGCACACGCACACACCUCGCCCAACCAGUGCUUUUAAACCCCUCUUGCCUCCACUAUACCCGCUCACUUCCACAGCAGCACCUGCUACACACUGUACCUUUUCCCGCCUUGUUUUUCGUAUUCGCCCUUUGUUUUUUUUUUGCUUUUUUGAUUCCAACGCUCUCUUCUCCGCUCACGCAUCCGCCGCCCCCCCCCUGCACCCCGUCACGUCCUUCUCGUGCGCACGUUGCACAACAAGUAUCGGCAAAGAUGGCGCGCCGCAACCCCUUUUUUUUUGCGAUAGUGGUAACUAUCCUGUUCGUGGUGUGCUACGGUUCCGCUCUUAUCGCCCAGACACCUCUCGGCGUCGACGACUUCAUUGCCUCGGCGCAUUACGGACGCUUUAAGAAGCGCCACGGCAAGCCCUUCGGCGAGGACGCCGAGGAGGGUCGACGCUUCAACGCCUUCAAGCAGAACAUGCAGACAGCCUACUUCCUCAAUGCGCACAACCCGCACGCGCACUACGACGUGUCCGGCAAGUUCGCGGACCUCACCCCGCAGGAGUUCGCCAAGUUGUACCUGAACCCCAACUACUACGCGCGCCACGGCAAGGAUUACAAGGAGCACGUGCACGUCGACGACAGCGUCCGCAGUGGUGUGAUGUCGGUGGACUGGCGUGAGAAGGGUGUCGUGACGCCGGUGAAGAACCAGGGAAUGUGCGGCUCGUGCUGGGCCUUCGCCACCACUGGCAACAUCGAAGGCCAGUGGGCUUUAAAAAACCACUCGCUGGUUUCGCUGUCGGAGCAAGUCCUCGUGUCGUGUGACAACAUCGAUGAUGGGUGCAACGGCGGGCUGAUGGAACAGGCAAUGCAAUGGAUCAUCAACGAUCACAACGGCACUGUGCCCACGGAGGACAGCUACCCCUACACCUCUGCCGGCGGCACGAGGCCUCCGUGCCAUGACAACGGCACCGUCGGCGCCAAAAUAGCAGGUUACAUGUCCCUGCCGCAUGACGAGGAAGAGAUCGCGGCUUAUGUAGGGAAGAACGGCCCAGUCGCCGUCGCCGUCGACGCGACAACCUGGCAGCUGUACUUUGGCGGUGUGGUCACCCUCUGCUUCGGGUUGUCGCUCAACCACGGUGUGCUCGUUGUCGGCUUCAACAGACAAGCAAAACCGCCGUACUGGAUCGUGAAGAACUCGUGGGGCUCCUCGUGGGGUGAGAAGGGGUACAUCCGCCUUGCCAUGGGCAGCAACCAGUGCUUGCUGAAGAAUUACGCCGUGACGGCCACGAUUGACGACUCCAACACCUCACACGUGCCGACGACAGCGGCCUAGCCGGAGCCCAGCCCCACGGCGCUUGUGCAGAUGAACUGUUUGAGUGGGUGCGCGCGGCUGUGCACAAACACGACCUAUCCGACCGGUGUGUGCCUGAAGCGUAAGAAUGGCGGCUCUGCCCAGGUAGCCUGUGGCAAAUCCGAGACGGUGGAGCUUCUCUACGACUCGCCGGGCUGCUCCGGGCCUGCCAACGAGGCCCGCGUGCCGCCGAGCCUAUGUAUGUGCAGCUACGCCGGCUACCUCCAGAACGUCCGCACUGAGUCUGUCGCUGCGGUGAGAACCAACGACGCCGUCUCUAACUUGGCCAAGCCGCUCAUCUUCGGCCAACCACACGCGAGGCACGCAGAGAUCUAGGACUGGCAGGAUGCACUGUGCGCUGUGCACCUCAGCCGCGCCGAUGCGGAUCCCUCCCUCAACCUCUCUUUGGAUGCCUCUCUGCCUUCCCCCGAGUGCCAUGAAGUCAUGACCCUACCGUAUACCUCUGCGGUAGUCCCUUUCGAAGUGCACCUACUCGCGACGAGUCCGCGCGGCUUGUCACAGUCCAUUGCGACUCGCAGGUCGUCAGCUUGCACAACGCGAUCUGGCGCACAGCUGAUAAGACAGUGCAAGAGCACCGUGCCGGCCACCGCCACCCCCUGCCUCCACCACCAUCGCGAGCAUCGUACUCUCUUGCUUUACCUGAAGAGCGACGACGGUCUCUGCCCCGUCUCUCUGUCCGUUUGCUGUUCCUUUCAUAUUUGUUGUUUCGCCUUCACCACCCCGUUCUUUUCGUGCUUUUUGCUUUUCCUUCCGACUGACAUGCACGCAUAUAUAUAUAUAUAUAUAUUUGCAUAUACAUGCGAUGGUGCAGGCGUGCCAUGGACAGUGAAAUGCCGACGACGAAGGCCCGCCAUCUCUCUCCCCCUCGCGUCCUCCUCCCCUUCCCAAGCCAGCAAGCGAGUGCGUCGGUCCGUGCGAAUAUAUGUAAUGCUUCUUUGGUUUCCUUUACUUCUUCCUCUUAUUUAUUUGUGCACGGUUUGCUCCGAGCACAACGGUGCGGCGAGAUCGGAGGACAACGGCGUUUUCUUGUCGUCGUCUAGUGGCAGCGAGACCUCUGCUCUACCCGACAACGUCACUGCAGGCCUCCGCCCUCUUUGAGAGAGGGCCCCAGUGACCUUACACAGACCAUUCUCUCUCGUUGUUUCCACGGUCCUUGCCUUCUGCGC
RNAcentral lists this unclassified non-coding RNA (2610 nucleotides) under Leishmania donovani. Its description in RNAcentral is "gene:LdHU3.19.1770(CDS-product:cysteine_peptidase _A_(CPA))". Lineage: Eukaryota; Euglenozoa; Kinetoplastea; Trypanosomatida; Trypanosomatidae. The record is from RNAcentral.